GAUGAACGCUAGCUACAGGCUUAACACAUGAAAGUCGAGGGGUAACGAGAGGAAAGCUUGCUUUCCUUGUUGACGACCGGCGCACGGGUGAGUAACGCGUAUCCAACCUGCCCCCAACUAGGGAAUAACCUUGCGAAAGUAAGACUAAUACCCUAUAAUUUCCUCAGAUGUCAUCUGACGAGGAAUAAAGAUUUAUCGGUUGUGGAUGGGGAUGCGUCUGAUUAGCUUGUUGGCGGGGUAACGGCCCACCAAGGCAACGAUCAGUAGGGGUUCUGAGAGGAAGGUCCCCCACAUUGGAACUGAGGCACUGUCCAAACUCCUACGGGAGGCAGCAGUGAGGAAUAAUGGUCAAUGGGCGGAAGCCUGAACUAGCCAAGUAGCGUGCAGGAUGACGGCCCGAUGGGUUGUAAACUGCUUUUAUACAGGAAUAAAGUUAGCCACGUGUGGUUAUUUGUAGGUACUGUAUGAAUAAGGACCGGCUAAUUCCGUGCCAGCCGCCGCGGUAA
Molecule: ribosomal RNA, 506 nt
Filed under: uncultured bacterium
Lineage: Bacteria
Description: partial 16S ribosomal RNA
Rfam family: Bacterial small subunit ribosomal RNA
Source: RNAcentral